Molecule: non-coding RNA, 759 nt
Organism: Pogona vitticeps (central bearded dragon)
Lineage: Eukaryota; Metazoa; Chordata; Lepidosauria; Squamata; Agamidae
Source: RefSeq, a predicted model, not a curated record
CUGAUUGUGAAAAUAGGUACAAGAAAAUAUGAGAAUCCAACUAGAAUCCAACUAAACCCAUCUAACCAGAUGAUACUGGGCAGAAAACUGGCCUGAAGACCUCAACAAUGGGAAUUCCUGCGGUCUACACUUUGAAGGGGCAAUGUGGUCUCUUGUGACCCAUUGUGGCUGUGCAGUAGAACACUUCACAAGCCGAUGAGGGCAAGUAGAGCCCCCCCCCCAGGAGGAGGAGAUGAAUUUUCAACAUCAGCUGCAGCAAAAGACUGACAGUUUUCAGAUGUGCUGAGCUACAUAUCUUACAAUUUAAUGACAGGAAUCAAGGGAUUUGCAGUGCAACGUGUCCAAGAACUGCCAGACAGAGAAGGUCGUCCUAAAACAUGGGCCCUAAAAAUUAAGUUUGGUCACUGAUCUAUGUCUCUUUUUCCCACAUGUAUGACCUCCACUCACUCUUUAAACUUCAUGGAUUGUUUGUAUGAGCUAGAAAAGAUGCAUAACAAACAAUGUGUUCAUUCUGGUUAAAAGACACUGAUCCACUUCAGUACUGAAGUGCAGCAAUAAAGGCUAUAAAUACUGGUUGGUGGAUCAAGAACAUUCUUCUUCACUAUGUAAUAAUUUCAUCUUUCUCCAAGAGUGAUUAACAAAGCACAAAGGAGGAAAUGCCAUAUCUCCACCCACCAUCUCCCGUUGCUUGAUGUCAGAGGUUACAAAUUAACAUGCAUGCCGUGAACACGAAUGGCGAUGUUUUCUUAUGAAGGUAUA